RNAcentral lists this ribosomal RNA (776 nucleotides) under uncultured fungus. RNAcentral describes it as "eukaryotic LSU rRNA". It matches the Rfam family "Eukaryotic large subunit ribosomal RNA", at positions 24 to 664 of the family's 3401-position model. The record is from RNAcentral. Lineage: Eukaryota; Fungi.
CCCGCUGAACUUAAGCAUAUCAGUAAGCGGAGGAAAAGAAACUAACAAGGAUUCCCCUAGUAACGGCGAGUGAAGCGGGAACAGCUCAAAUUUAAAAUCUGGGAAAUACUUUCUCUGAAUUGUAGUUUAAAGAAAUGUUAUCUGGAGACGGGAGCACGUGCAAGUUCCUUGGAAUAGGACAUCACAGAGGGUGAGAAUCCCGUCUGGACGGGCGGCCGUCUCCUGGAUGAGACAUUUUCAACGAGUCGAGUUGUUUGGGAUUGCAGCUCAAAAUGGGAGGUAAAUUUCUUCUAAGGCUAAAUAUUGGCAAGAGACCGAUAGCGAACAAGUACCGUGAGGGAAAGAUGAAAAGCACCUUGAAAAGGGAGUUAAAUAGUGCGUGAAAUUGUUAAAAGGGAAACGAUUGAAGCCAGUAUGGAGAGUGGUUGUUCAACGGAAGUCGGUUGGAUGGUGAUCGCGUGCAAAGUGAUGGUCAUCACUUGUAUCGGUCAUUUGAAGCUGAUGACUGCGCAUUCUGCCAUUCUCCAGUCAAGCUCGGUUUGGCCAGUUGGACAGUGCUGGGAGAAAGAUGGUAUCACUUUUCGGAGGGGUAUUUUAUAGUCUCACGGUAGCACAACUAGCGAGACUGACGAUGAGGGUUGUCAUACCGAAUGAUGGCACUUGGUUCAUUGGUUGGUUUGGACAGCAUGCUGACCAGGCCAAUCGACAGUCAAGGUAAAUCAUUCGAUAACUUUCGCCUGACGAAAUGGUUUUAAACGACCCGUCUUGAAACACGG